This 77-nucleotide transfer RNA is filed under the name subsurface metagenome. RNAcentral describes it as "tRNA-Met". It matches the Rfam family "tRNA". From Rfam's summary of the family: Transfer RNA (tRNA) molecules are approximately 80 nucleotides in length. Their secondary structure includes four short double-helical elements and three loops (D, anti-codon, and T loops). Further hydrogen bonds mediate the characteristic L-shaped molecular structure. tRNAs have two regions of fundamental functional importance: the anti-codon, which is responsible for specific mRNA codon recognition, and the 3' end, to which the tRNAs corresponding amino acid is attached (by aminoacyl-tRNA synthetases). tRNAs cope with the degeneracy of the genetic code in two manners: having more than one tRNA (with a specific anti-codon) for a particular amino acid; and 'wobble' base-pairing, i.e. permitting non-standard base-pairing at the 3rd anti-codon position. The record is from RNAcentral.
CGCGGGGUAGAGCAGUUGGUCAGCUCGAGUGCUUCAUUAGCACUAGGUCGUGGGUUCGAAUCCCACCCCCGCUGCCA